UGGGGGAUAUUGCACAAUGGGCGAAAGCCUGAUGCAGCGACGCCGCGUGGGGGAUGAAGUCCUUCGGGUUGUAAACUUCUUUUGCUCUGAACAAGGCGCACCAUGGGGUGUGUUGAGUGUAGGGGUUGAUUAGCGCCGGCUAACUACGUGCCAGCAGCCGCGGUAAUACGUAGGGCGCGAGCGUUGUCCGGAAUUAUUGGGCGUAAAGGGCUUGUAGGUGGCUGGUUGCGUCUGUCGUGAAAGCUCAUGGCUUAACUGUGGGUUUGCGGUGGGUACGGGCUGGCUUGAGUGCAGUAGGAGAGGCUGGAAUUCCUGGUGUAGCGGUGGAAUGCGCAGAUAUCAGGAGGAAUACCGGUGGCGAAGGCGGGUCUCUGGGCUGUUACUGACACUGAGGAGCGAAAGCAUGGGGAGCGAACAGG
Molecule: ribosomal RNA, 419 nt
Filed under: bacterium
Lineage: Bacteria
Description: partial 16S ribosomal RNA
Rfam family: Bacterial small subunit ribosomal RNA
Source: RNAcentral